GACGAACGCUGGCGGCGUGCCUAAUACAUGCAAGUCGAACGGUCUUUUCUAUGGAAGCUUGCUUCCACUGAGAAGAUAGUGGCGAACGGGUGAGUAACACGUUGGUAACCUGCCCAUAAGAGGGGGAUAACAUCCGGAAACGGGUGCUAAUACCGCAUAGUUUUCUUGAUCGCAUGAUCGGGAAAGGAAAGACGGCCUUUGUGCUGUCGCUUAUGGAUGGACCCGCGGCGUAUUAGUUAGUUGGUGAGGUAACGGCUCACCAAGACGAUGAUACGUAGCCGACCUGAGAGGGUGAUCGGCCACAUUGGGACUGAGACACGGCCCAAACUCCUACGGGAGGCAGCAGUAGGGAAUCUUCCGCAAUGGACGAAAGUCUGACGGAGCAACGCCGCGUGAGUGAAGAAGGUUUUCGGAUCGUAAAACUCUGUUGUCAGAGAAGAACAAGUUGGAGAGUAACUGCUCCAGCCUUGACGGUAUCUGACCAGAAAGCCACGGCUAACUACGUGCCAGCAGCCGCCGUAA
This 522-nucleotide ribosomal RNA is filed under the name uncultured bacterium. Its description in RNAcentral is "partial 16S ribosomal RNA". It matches the Rfam family "Bacterial small subunit ribosomal RNA", at positions 28 to 523 of the family's 1533-position model. The record is from RNAcentral.